Non-coding RNA from Enterococcus sp. 2G9_DIV0600, 212 nucleotides. NCBI's taxonomy places the organism in Bacteria, Bacillati, Bacillota, Bacilli, Lactobacillales, Enterococcaceae. The record is from Rfam.
UAGAACUGAUGAUUCAAAUGGUGGAAUGAAGGGCUAACAACCUGAAACGCCUACCCUGAGGUUACGCUGUGCAAAAUUAUGGGUAAUCAUAGUGAUGUACAAAGCGCGUUAAAGUCGGCAGAGAGUUGCCCAAACAAAGGAAAAAAUUAUUUUCAGAUGUGGAAAGUUGUCCAGAGGUGGAUGACGCAACCUAUAUGCCGGGGGUCUAAAAA